RNAcentral lists this ribosomal RNA (321 nucleotides) under Rhogostoma sp. RNAcentral's name for it is "SSU rRNA". It matches the Rfam family "Eukaryotic small subunit ribosomal RNA", at positions 631 to 955 of the family's 1831-position model. Lineage: Eukaryota; Cercozoa; Thecofilosea; Cryomonadida; Rhogostomidae. The record is from RNAcentral.
GAUAUCUGGUUUAAUGCACCUGGCCCGCGGCCAAUAGGCUUGUGAGUGCCGGUGUGCGUUUACCAUCUUUCUAGAAAACGAUUCUGCCAUUAACUUGGUGGGAUCGCGAUCUAGAUCUUUUACUUUGAAAAAAUUAGAGUGUUUAAAGCAAGCUUUUGCUAUGAAUACAUUAGCAUGGAAUAAUAAUUUAGGACUUCGGUUCUAUUUUGUUGGUUUUCAGAACUGAAGUAAUGAUUGAUAGGGACAGUUGGGGAUGCUGAUAUUCAUUGGCCAGAGGUGAAAUUCUUGGAUUCAAUGAAGAUCAACUCAUGCGAAAGCAUU